GUGUUCACUUUGGCAGCACAUAUUCUAAAAUCUGAGUGGUACAGAGAAGUCUACCAUGGCCCCUACUCAAAGAUGAUGUGCAAAUUUGUGAAACAUUCCAUACUUUU
Pteronotus mesoamericanus is the source of this 107-nucleotide small nuclear RNA. Lineage: Eukaryota; Metazoa; Chordata; Mammalia; Chiroptera; Mormoopidae. The record is from RefSeq and is a predicted model, not a curated record.